Molecule: ribosomal RNA, 118 nt
Filed under: Labrus bergylta (ballan wrasse)
Lineage: Eukaryota; Metazoa; Chordata; Actinopteri; Labriformes; Labridae
Source: RNAcentral
GCUUACGGCCAUACCACCCUGAACAUGCCCGAUCUUGUCAGAUCUCGGAAGCUAAGCAGGGUCGGGCCUGGUUAGUACUUGGAUGGAGACCGCCUGGAAUACCAAGGUGCUGUAAGGU